CGACGGCAGCAAGGCAGGAGAGAGAAAAAUGGGUCUCAAAUUUUGAACGCUCGUAUUCGGUGAUCCCGACGUCCGAUCGGAGUGAUUCUAGCGGUUAUGGACUCUUGAUAGAGAGCUCUUUUAGAUGAGACCAGCCUCGUGGAAUUUGGUGGCCGUUUCUAGCGCCGUCAAAGAGAGAGAAAAUCGAUUUUUUUUUAACUUUCUGACGAGAUUUCUAACAAUCUGACUGUUGGAUCGACGACUAGAUGGACUCAAGAGGAGGAGGAGAGGAACAUUUGGUGUGACCAGUUCUGACAGAUAUUACCGACGACCAGUUACCAUGCACAGUGGCUCUUGUG
This 338-nucleotide unclassified non-coding RNA is filed under the name Hevea brasiliensis (rubber tree). The record is from RNAcentral. Lineage: Eukaryota; Viridiplantae; Streptophyta; Magnoliopsida; Malpighiales; Euphorbiaceae.